GACGAACGCUUUCGGCGUGCUUAACACAUGCAAGUCGAACGGAAAGGCCCUGCUUUUGUGGGGUGCUCGAGUGGCGAACGGGUGAGUAACACGUGAGUAACCUGCCCUUGACUUUGGGAUAACUUCAGGAAACUGGGGCUAAUACCGGAUAGGAGCUCCUGCUGCAUGGUGGGGGUUGGAAAGUUUCGGCGGUUGGGGAUGGACUCGCGGCUUAUCAGCUUGUUGGUGGGGUAGUGGCUUACCAAGGCUUUGACGGGUAGCCGGCCUGAGAGGGUGACCGGCCACAUUGGGACUGAGAUACGGCCCAGACUCCUACGGGAGGCAGCAGUGGGGAAUAUUGCACAAUGGGCGGAAGCCUAAUGCAGCAACGCCGCGUGCGGGAUGACGGCCUUCGGGUUGUAAACCGCUUUCGCCUGUGACGAAGCGUGAGUGACGGUAAUGGGUAAAGAAGCACCGGCUAACUACGUGCCAGCAGCCGCGGUGAUACGUAGGGUGCGAGCGUUGUCCGGAUUUAUUGGGCGUAAAGGGCUCGUAGGUGGUUGAUCGCGUCGGAAGUGUAAUCUUGGGGCUUAACCCUGAGCGUGCUUUCGAUACGGGUUGACUUGAGGAAGGUAGGGGAGAAUGGAAUUCCUGGUGGAGCGGUGGAAUGCGCAGAUAUCAGGAGGAACACCAGUGGCGAAGGCGGUUCUCUGGGCCUUUCCUGACGCUGAGGAGCGAAAGCGUGGGGAGCGAACAGGCUUAGAUACCCUGGUAGUCCACGCUGUAAACGGUGGGUACUAGGUGUGGGGUCCAUUCCACGGGUUCCGUGCCGUAGCUAACGCUUUAAGUACCCCGCCUGGGGAGUACGGCCGCAAGGCUAAAACUCAAAGGAAUUGACGGGGCCCCGCACAAGCGGCGGAGCAUGCGGAUUAAUUCGAUGCAACGCGUAGAACCUUACCUGGGUUUGACAUGGAUCGGGAGUGCUCAGAGAUGGGUGUGCCUCUUUUGGGGUCGGUUCACAGGUGGUGCAUGGCUGUCGUCAGCUCGUGUCGUGAGAUGUUGGGUUAAGUCCCGCAACGAGCGCAACCCUUGUUCACUGUUGCCAGCACGUUAUGGUGGGGACUCAGUGGAGACCGCCGGGGUCAACUCGGAGGAAGGUGGGGAUGACGUCAAGUCAUCAUGCCCCUUAUGUCCAGGGCUUCACGCAUGCUACAAUGGCUGGUACAGAGAGUGGCGAGCCUGUGAGGGUGAGCGAAUCUCGGAAAGCCGGUCUCAGUUCGGAUUGGGGUCUGCAACUCGACCUCAUGAAGUCGGAGUCGCUAGUAAUCGCAGAUCAGCAACGCUGCGGUGAAUACGUUCCCGGGGCU
This 1346-nucleotide ribosomal RNA is filed under the name uncultured bacterium. RNAcentral describes it as "partial 16S ribosomal RNA". It matches the Rfam family "Bacterial small subunit ribosomal RNA", at positions 28 to 1381 of the family's 1533-position model. The record is from RNAcentral.